Molecule: long non-coding RNA, 1798 nt
Filed under: Citrus x clementina
Lineage: Eukaryota; Viridiplantae; Streptophyta; Magnoliopsida; Sapindales; Rutaceae
Description: Citrus clementina (C. clementina) long non-coding RNA (CCLE_LNC003455)
Source: RNAcentral
AAUUAUUUUCUAAAAAUGGGAUGGGUUCACAAAAAUUAUGGGGCGAAAAAAUACCACCCUUAAAAAAAUUUUAGUAGCUUUCUCCAAUUAAAUCCUCAUGUUGGUUAGAGAAAUUAAACAAAACUCCCUUCAUGUUUUCAUAUAGGUCUAAAUCUCCCUCUAACUGUAAUGGUGUCAAUUUUAUAUAUUAUUUUCCCAAUCUGUCCCUACUUUUAACGUUAGCCAUAAAAUUUAUAUAUUUUGAGAAUAUAAAUCAAGUAAAAUGGCUCAUAUACUAAAUCAAUUUGAUAUUGAAUUGGAGAAAAAUUAGAAACCGAAGUUAGAUAACCGACAUCCCUCACCCCUAAAUCAACUUUCUUCCCACCAAAAUUAACAAAAACAUCCAUAUUAGUCAUCUCAGCGCAGUAUCAAUGGACAUUAGCAUCGCGAUUUCAAGAUUACCACAAAUAAAUAAACUUGAACAAAAGUCUUUUUUCUUUUUUUUUUUCAAUUUUGGUUUAAAAUCACUAAACCAACAAAAUCAGAACCAUUUAGCAACGUUUCACAUACAAUAGGAUGAAAAAUAAAAAUGAAGAAACGAAUCCAUAAACCCAUGUGACGAAAACAUAACAUAACCAAACAAUUUUUAAAUAAAAAAACUCAUAUUUUUAUACUAUAAAUGAUUAAUAAAAUUAAAAAAUAAAAAAGCAAACCGACAGUCCUUUCGAAUUUUAUGUUUGCUUUCCAUGGAGAUAUUUUCUAGCGUUUGAAAAAAUAAAUAAAUUAAAAAAAAACGAAAAGGCCUUUUAGGACCAAACAAAUAAAUAUCAAUCUUCUUAAACAAAUUAUGUGAUUUUCUUUUCUUUUUUUAAAAGAAGGUGGCGCUAGAGAAAAAUGCAAAAGCCUCUAGCGCCGAUUGUUGUACUGAUUAUUUUCUUUUUCCAUAAUUUUAUGAAAGGUUUAAGAGAACAAAAUUUUAUGGCUUUAUUAUUGUAGUGGUAUUAGCUUUUUUGUUGUACUGAUUAUUUUCUUUUUCCAUAAUUUACAAUUCAGUAUUAAUUUAAUUUAAAAAUUAAGGGUGUAUAUGUAAUUAUGCUUAAUUUAUAUUUUUAAAAUAUUUAAAUUUUAGACGGGGCUAUUUAAAUCCACUAAAAUACUCACUAAACCCGACUACUUAACAAACUCAUCUUCAUAAUUUAAAACUUUAUGUUUUACUUAGCAAACCCAUUUUAAUACCUAUUAUACUCUUAUUGAACAAAAUUAUUAUAAUUUGUGCAAUUUUUUUCCACGACUUUUUCAUCCUUUCUUUAUCUUCGCAAUUAUUUAUGGAUCUUUCUCCACCAUUACAAAUGAUAAGGUUUUACUCUCAUAUUCAUUUUUUUCAUCUGUUUUUUUUUUGUCCCAUUAAUCUUUAAAUGUAUUUUUCAUAAAUUACAUUAAAUAACAAAAUCAUAAAUCACAACAAAUAAAAAAAAAAAUCUUUCUCCACCCAUUUUUUGCACUACAUUCUCACACGUGAAUAUAGAAAUCUUGACUAAAGACAUACCCAAGUAGUAAGAAAUUGGGUUAGGAAGAACUUAUUACCUAUAUGCAACUUCCUUCAAUCUUUAUUCCAGUAGCGUGAGAGAAACAAAAUUCAAAUUCUAUCAUCUUUAAGCUCAGAAGCAAGUUCAGAUCAAGCAAGCAAAGAACUUUCAUUUCUUUUACACUUUCCUUCUUUCAUUGACAAAGAAUAUCUCUUAAGUAAUUAUCCUCUCUGAUUCCAAUUAAUUCAAUACCAUUGAAUAUGAUCAUGGGCGGAUCUAGCAUGUGACCAGUG